Molecule: long non-coding RNA, 403 nt
Filed under: Papio anubis (olive baboon)
Lineage: Eukaryota; Metazoa; Chordata; Mammalia; Primates; Cercopithecidae
Description: lncRNA (ENSPANG00000038892.1)
Source: RNAcentral
UCUUUCUACUGGAAGCAUUGUAACAUAUCACUCAGCCCAGCACCUAGGUGAUGUGAUUCUGCUCUCUUGCCUGGUCUCUGCCCACUGAAGUGGUGGUGACCUAUCACUGAGCCAAGCACUAAGGUAAUGUCACUCUCCUGUCUUGUCUCUGCCCAUGAAGGCCAUUGUGACAUAUGUCUAGGCCAAUCACCUAGGUGAAGUGAGCCUCCUCUCCUGCCUAAGCUCUGCCUACAGGGGAGAUUUUGAUAAACUGGACUCAGAACCUUCUGCCAGGGUCCUGCCCACAAGGGGGAUUAUUACAUAUCACUGGACCAGCACAUAGGUGAGAUUGUGACCUAUGUUUGGAUCCAGCUCACAGGCAUGAUGAUGAAUCUUACACCUGAACCUAGCCAAGAGGAAAGAU